This 603-nucleotide ribosomal RNA is filed under the name uncultured fungus. RNAcentral describes it as "eukaryotic LSU rRNA". The stretch from base 208 to 361 matches the Rfam family "5.8S ribosomal RNA". Lineage: Eukaryota; Fungi. The record is from RNAcentral.
AGUAAAAGUCGUAACAAGGUCUCCGUAGGUGAACCUGCGGAGGGAUCAUUACAAGUGACCCCGGUCUAACCACCGGGAUGUUCAUAACCCUUUGUUGUCCGACUCUGUUGCCUCCGGGGCGACCCUGCCUUCGGGCGGGGGCUCCGGGUGGACACUUCAAACUCUUGCGUAACUUUGCAGUCUGAGUAAACUUAAUUAAUAAAUUAAAACUUUUAACAACGGAUCUCAUGGUUCUGGCAUCGAUGAAGAACGCAGCGAAAUGCGAUAAGUAAUGUGAAUUGCAGAAUUCAGUGAAUCAUCGAAUCUUUGAACGCACAUUGCGCCCCCUGGUAUUCCGGGGGGCAUGCCUGUUUGAGCGUCAUUUCACCACUCAAGCCUCGCUUGGUAUUGGGCAACGCGGUCCGCCGCGUGCCUCAAAUCGACCGGCUGGGUCUUCUGUCCCCUAAGCGUUGUGGAAACUAUUCGCUAAAGGGUGCUCGGGAGGCUACGCCGUAAAACAAACCCAUUUCUAAGGUUGACCUCGGAUCAGGUAGGGAUACCCGCUGAACUUAAGCAUAUCAAUAAGCGGAGGAAAAGAAACCAACAGGGAUUGCCCCAGUAACG